RNAcentral lists this ribosomal RNA (301 nucleotides) under uncultured bacterium. RNAcentral's name for it is "partial 16S ribosomal RNA". It matches the Rfam family "Bacterial small subunit ribosomal RNA", at positions 509 to 808 of the family's 1533-position model. The record is from RNAcentral.
CAGAGCCGCGGUAAUACAGAGGGUGCGAGCGUUAAUCGGAUUUACUGGGCGUAAAGCGUGCGUAGGCGGCUUCUUAAGUCGGAUGUGAAAUCCCUGAGCUUAACUUAGGAAUUGCAUUCGAUACUGGGAAGCUAGAGUAUGGGAGAGGAUGGUAGAAUUCCAGGUGUAGCGGUGAAAUGCGUAGAGAUCUGGAGGAAUACCGAUGGCGAAGGCAGCCAUCUGGCCUAAUACUGACGCUGAGGUACGAAAGCAUGGGGAGCAAACAGGAUUAGAUACCCGGGUAGUCCCUGUCUCUUAUACA